Molecule: long non-coding RNA, 312 nt
Organism: Xyrauchen texanus (razorback sucker)
Lineage: Eukaryota; Metazoa; Chordata; Actinopteri; Cypriniformes; Catostomidae
Exons: 5
Source: RefSeq, a predicted model, not a curated record
AUGAAUUGCAACUAACACGUCUUCCAAACCUUUUCAGUAACCUGGCACAUGCUGUGUCCAAUGGACCAUGGAAGUCAUUUUACUUGGCUGACGAGGGCACAUCUCCCCAGCAUCAGAGCAACAGCUGUGGGGUGUUUAUGCUGAUGUAUGCAAUGUAUUCUACCCUCCAAAAGCCAUAUGAUUUCAUUGAGGUGGACAUGCUCUCUAUCAGGAGGUGGUGGUGUGGGCAACUGCUGGAGACCUUUACGCUUGAAAGCCCUGCAAGACUAGCUGACACACCCAUCUCACCCUCUCCAUCUCCCCAUAUCAGCC